RNAcentral lists this long non-coding RNA (387 nucleotides) under Elaeis guineensis (African oil palm). RNAcentral's name for it is "long non-coding RNA (EGUI_LNC075318)". Lineage: Eukaryota; Viridiplantae; Streptophyta; Magnoliopsida; Arecales; Arecaceae. The record is from RNAcentral.
GCCUUCUUCCUUUCGCCGAACCAAAGGUCUCCCUCUCUUCUUCCUCAAACACAAGAUUUCCCUCAAAAUUCCUCUCCCACCGACUCUCACACUCCAAAUCGCCCACUUAGGAACCAAGUUCCUCCCCUUCUCCUUCUUCAUUUGGAGUGAUUCGAGCUUACCCUAGACUCUACCCAUCUUCUCCAAAUCGGCACAUCACUUCUCCAAAAUCCUUAUCUUUCCACUAAAAACCCUUCAUCUCUCCCUCACAUUUGCUCUCCUAAGUUCCGUGCUAGUCCUGCCUGUGCAAAUGGCUCCCAAGAUGAAUCUUCCACAGAGGAAGAAAUCCGUUCGCGGGUUGGAGGAAAGUGUGCGCCAAAAGAGACUAGCAACUGAGAUCACUUCUAC